RNAcentral lists this ribosomal RNA (1462 nucleotides) under groundwater metagenome. RNAcentral's name for it is "bacterial SSU rRNA". It matches the Rfam family "Bacterial small subunit ribosomal RNA". The record is from RNAcentral.
AGAGUUUGAUCCUGGCUCAGGAUGAACGCUGGCGGCGUGCCUUAUGCAUGCAAGUCGAACGGUCCGACGGAUCCCGCAAGGGGCUCGUCGGGCAGUGGCGGACGGGUGAGUACAAGCAAGGAACGUACCCCUUAUUGUGGGAUAGCUCGUCGAAAGACGGGGUAAUACCGCAUGAUCCCGCAAGGGUAAAGCGCUUAACCGCGCGAUAAGGGAGCGGCCUUGUGGCUAUCAGCUUGUUGGUGGGGGAAAGGCCUACCAAGGCUACGACGGCUAGGGGGCGUGAGAGCGCGACCCCCCACAAUGGCACUGAGACACGGGCCAUACACCUACGGGUGGCAGCAACAGGGAAUCGUUGGCAAUGGACGCAAGUCUGACCACGCGACGCCGCGUGAGGGAUGAAGGCUUUCGGGUCGUAAACCUCUUUUAUCUCGCCGUCGAGGCGAGGAGAAUAAGCACCUACUAACUACGUGCCAGCAGUCGCGGUAAUACGUAGGGUGCAAGCGUUAUCCGGAUUCACUGGGCGUAAAGUGUCGUGUAGGCGGUUUACCGCAUCGUGCUUGAAAGCCCGAGGCUUAACCUCGGCGUUGGGCACGAGAUGAGUAGACUUGAGGGAGGCAGAGGAACGGGGAACUCAUGGUGAAGCAGUGAAAUGCGUUGAUAUCAUGAGGAACACCAAAGGCGAAGGCACCGUUCUGGACCUCUCCUGACGCUGAGACACGAAAGCUAGGGGAGCGAAGCAGAUUAGAGACCUGCGUAGUCCUAGCCCUAAACGCAUGCCUGCUAGUUGCUCGCCGCAAGGCGAGUGACGUAAGCUAACGCGUUAAGCAGGCCGCCUGGGGAGUACGAUCGCAAGAUUAAAACUCAAAGGAAUUGACGGGGACCCGCACAACCGGUGGAGCGUGUGGUUCAAUUCGAGACAAAGCGAAAGACCUCACCAGGUCUUGACAUGCUACCGUUUACCCGCCUGGAAACAGAUGGGGAUCCGCAAGGAUGGUAGCACAGCUGCUGCAUGGCUGUCGUCAGCUCGUGCCGUGAGGUAUUCCCUUAAGUGGGAGAACGAGCGCAACCCGUAUCCGAUGUUACAAGUGUCAUCGGAGACUGCGGUGGCUCAUGCCACCGAGGAAGGAACGGACGACGUCAAGUCAGCACGGCGCUUAUGACCUGGGCCACACACACCCUACAAUGGCGAAGAACAAUGGGAUGCGAGGUAGUAAUACCAAGCAAAUCUCCGUUAAAUUUCGCCUCAGUUCAGAUUGAGGGCUGCAACUCGCCCUCAUGAAGUCGGAAUCGGUAGUAAUCGCAGAUCAGCAGGCUGCGGUGAAUACGUUCUCGGGUCUUGUACACACCGCCCGUCAAGCCAACAAAGUUGGAGGCGGCCGAAGAGCCCCGCAAGGGGAGCUAAGCCGAAACCAGCGAUGGGGACUAAGUCGUAACAAGGUAUCCCUAGCCGAAGCUGGGGAUG